AGAGUUUGAUCAUGGCUCAGAAUUAACGCUGGCGGCAUGCCUAACACAUGCAAGUCGCACGAGAAAGCCCGGUUCGCCGGGCGAGUAAAGUGGCGCACGGGUGAGUAACGCGUGGAUAAUCUACCUCUAUCUGGGGGAUAACGCACCGAAAAGGUGCGCUAAUACCGCAUAUUCCGGCGAAAUUUCGGUUUUGUCGGUAAAGGUGGCCUCUUGAUCAAAGCUACCGGGUGGAGAUGAGUCCGCGUCCCAUUAGCUUGUUGGUAGGGUAACGGCCUACCAAGGCGACGAUGGGUAGCUGGUCUGAGAGGACGAUCAGCCACACUGGAACUGGUACACGGUCCAGACUCCUACGGGAGGCAGCAGUGAGGAAUAUUGCGCAAUGGGGGAAACCCUGACGCAGCGAUGCCGCGUGGGUGAAGAAGGCCUUCGGGUCGUAAAGCCCUGUCAAGCGGGAAGAACAGCGACGAGACCAAUAAUCUCGUCGUGUGACGGUACCGCUGAAGGAAGCACCGGCUAACUCCGUGCCAGCAGCCGCGGUAAGACGGAGGGUGCGAGCGUUAUUCGGAUUUAUUGGGCGUAAAGAGCGUGUAGGCGGUUGGUCAAGUCAGAUGUGAAAGCCCAGGGCUUAACCCCUGGAAGUGCAUUUGAAACUGGUCGACUUGAGUUCGGGAGAGGGAAGUGGAAUUCCGGGUGUAGAGGUGAAAUUCGUAGAUAUCCGGAGGAACACCGGUGGCGAAGGCGACUUCCUGGACCGAAACUGACGCUGAGACGCGAAAGCGUGGGGAGCAAACAGGAUUAGAUACCCUAGUAGUCC
RNAcentral lists this ribosomal RNA (814 nucleotides) under uncultured bacterium. RNAcentral's name for it is "bacterial SSU rRNA". It matches the Rfam family "Bacterial small subunit ribosomal RNA", at positions 8 to 796 of the family's 1533-position model. The record is from RNAcentral.